UCCGUCGACAUCUACUCCUCCUGCACCAAUAGAUCACCGCCUUGCCCUCGCCUCCUUCCCUCUACAAUGGUGCUUGUGCCUCACUCACCUCUCUGGUUCAUAGCCAUUGUGGCACCUCCCUCUAGCUUCCAUCGUCGAACUUAGGCUGUUAGAUCCAUGGUGGCUCAAGGGUUGCCUGAUCCUACCGCCAUGAGGUUGAGGGAGACCAAAUUUGUUCGACAUGAUUUUGGUUGCGGUGACGAUGGUGGGACAAGCGGUGAUGUCCAUGGCAUAUCUAGGAUGACGAUAAGCUGGGAUCCUUGGUAGGUGGCAGCUGCCAAUCCCCUUUGCUUGAGGCCACUAGAUCCACGAGCUUGAUAGCUGAGGCCACCAUAUCCCAACUUGUGUGUUCUGGUGGUUGAUUUGUGUUGUACUUGUUUGUGUGUUUCGAAC
Molecule: long non-coding RNA, 432 nt
Filed under: Oryza brachyantha (malo sina)
Lineage: Eukaryota; Viridiplantae; Streptophyta; Magnoliopsida; Poales; Poaceae
Description: long non-coding RNA (OBRA_LNC002325)
Source: RNAcentral